AACCACAUUUAUUCUGUGACUAAUCCAUCAGAAUAUCUACUUCUUAAAGCAUACUAGACUACUGAGAGGUUAAGCCUCUAUGUUUUGUCAUAUUAAAACUCUCACUGCAAAAGGUUGGAAGCAGCCCCUGAAGAAACCAAUGAUAGUUUAAAUCAGCAGAGAGGUUCAUAAAGCAUUCAGGAAGCUCCCAGCUGGGCCCGUGCACAACAUGGAAAGUUUACUUACAGUUCGUAUGUCAUGAUGAGAAUUACUGCUAUCCUGUGUGUCCUUUCACCAAUCUGAGAAAGUUGCUGACAGCAGAGGUGGUUGUUAUGGGGACAGCAAGCAGCAUUGUACUUCAUUUGUUCUCGAUGAUCCAAAACAUGGAUGUUUCCGCUCAUUGUAGAAUCACGCUGUGCAAUCCUGUUCUGCUCUUGAAUGCACGUUCUACUGCUUCCUUGGGCUUGUUUUCUUCUUUUGGUAAAUUCUUCAGGGCAGUACAGGGAUAAGAGAACAAUCAGUGAUUUCUCUGAGCACACACAGCAGCAUGGUUAUUUUGAAAUACAGCUCUUCUGUAGUUCUGUACCGUAACUACCCACACCCUCUCCUCCUCUUUGCAAGUGCUGUGUUUUCUGCUACUCUUUCAUUUAAAACAUUGUCUAAAACCUGAAGAAAUUCUGUGAAAUAACUCUCAAUUGCUGCUAACAGUGGCUAGCAACCAGCUACUAGCAACUGCGAAGGUCUAACACUAACAAAUCCUGUGUGUUUCAUUGCAUUAGAGGUGAAUUAUCUUAUUGAGAGUAACGGGGAAAGGGGAUCUUCUGGGCUUUGAUGAAAUCUCUCUGUCCCUUAACUCUGUUUAGAGCAGCAGUGAUUGCCAUAAUAUUUAAAUCUAUAGGAACACACCUCUCCAACAGCACAUCUCUCCAGUGCCAUUAAAACAGCAAUCACAGCAGUGGCAUAUAUAAUUUUUAACAUAAUCUCCACUGACUCUUGACGUUUUCAAGACAUAGCCUUCUUUGUGUUUCAGGGUGAUGGAGAGUGGGGCAGGAACAUGAAAACUGCGUGGAUUCUUUCUAGAACAUGAAUUCUAAUUCCUUUUGUUUCUUCUUAGAUAUUAACACAGAAGCAGAUAAUUCCAUCUGAGCCUCACAGAAGAACCAUGGUAACCAUCCAGAGCCAUGCUGAUUUCAGUGGGCUCUUAUGUCUGUCAUCCCAGCAUAAAUCAGAGCUGUCAUACGGGAUUUCCAAAUCUGAAAUAUUAUGGCCUUUGGAUGUAUAUAUUGUACAACACAAAUAAAAAAUGCCCUAAAAUUCA
Neopsephotus bourkii (Bourke's parrot) is the source of this 1297-nucleotide long non-coding RNA. RefSeq lists it as uncharacterized. NCBI's taxonomy places the organism in Eukaryota, Metazoa, Chordata, Aves, Psittaciformes, Psittacidae. The record is from RefSeq and is a predicted model, not a curated record. The transcript is spliced from 2 exons.